GAGGCAGCAGUGGGGAAUCUUGGACAAUGGGGGCAACCCUGAUCCAGCCAUGCCGCGUGAGUGAUGAAGGCCCUAGGGUCGUAAAGCUCUUUCGCCAGGGAUGAUAAUGACAGUACCUGGUAAAGAAACCCCGGCUAACUCCGUGCCAGCAGCCGCGGUAAUACGGAGGGGGUUAGCGUUGUUCGGAAUUACUGGGCGUAAAGCGCGCGUAGGCGGAUUAGUCAGUCAGAGGUGAAAUCCCAGGGCUCAACCCUGGAACUGCCUUUGAUACUGCUAGUCUUGAGUUCGAGAGAGGUGAGUGGAAUUCCGAGUGUAGAGGUGAAAUUCGUAGAUAUUCGGAGGAACACCAGUGGCGAAGGCGGCUCACUGGCUCGAUACUGACGCUGAGGUGCGAAAGUGUGGGGAGCAAACAGGAUUAGAUACCCUGGUAGUCCACACCGUAAACGAUGAAUGCCAGUCGUCGGGUAGCAUGCUAUUCGGUGACACACCUAACGGAUUAAGCAUUCCGCCUGGGGA
RNAcentral lists this ribosomal RNA (516 nucleotides) under uncultured Alphaproteobacteria bacterium. Its description in RNAcentral is "bacterial SSU rRNA". It matches the Rfam family "Bacterial small subunit ribosomal RNA", at positions 345 to 879 of the family's 1533-position model. Lineage: Bacteria; Pseudomonadati; Pseudomonadota; Alphaproteobacteria. The record is from RNAcentral.